GAUCAAGUAGGCAAGGGCGUACGGAGGAUGCCUGGCCACUCGAAACUGAAGAAGGACGCACCGAACUGCGAAAAGCGGCGCCGAGCUGUAAGGAAGCGAAGACGCGCCGGUAUCCGAAUGGGGGAACCCGGCAUGGCGAGAGCGAUGUCAUCCUAUGAUGAAGAAGAUAGUCAUAGAGAGAGGAACCCGGGGAACUGAAACAUCUAAGUACCCGGAGGAAAAGAAAACAACAGUGAUUUCCCGAGUAGCGGCGAGCGAAAGGGAAGGAGCCCAAACCGAUCGAAGGAUCGGGGUAGAAGGGCCUUCGAGAAAGCGGAAGCGGAAGCAUAGCCGAGCGUGAACGGAAGCACGGCCGAAGAGGGUGAAAGCCCCGUAGGCGAAAUGCGAGAAGCAGAAGCGAGAAGGACCCUGAGUACGGCGAGACACGAGAAAUCUUGUCGGAAGCAGGCGGGACCAUCCGCCAAGGCUAAAUAUAAACGAGUGAGCGAUAGAGAACAAGUACCGUGAGGGAAAGGUGAAAAGAACCGCGGGAGCGGAGUGAAAGAGAACCUGAAACCGUAUGCCUACAAGAAGUCAGAGCCCGUCAAAGGGUGAUGGCGUGCCUUUUGUAGAAUGAACCGGCGAGUUGCGUCAUAAUGCGAGGUUAAGCAGGAAAGAGCGGAGCCGAAGCGAAAGCGAGUCUGAAGAGGGCGAAGAGAGUAGUAUGAUGCAGACCCGAAACCGGGUGAUCUAGCCAUGGGCAGGUUGAAGCAGGAGUGAAAUUCUGUGGAGGACCGAACCGACUACCGUUGAAAAGUUAGCGGAUGACCUGUGGCUAGGGGAGAAAUUCCAAUCGAACCCGGAGAUAGCUGGUUCUCCCCGAAAUAGCUUUAGGGCUAGCGUCGGCCGAUAAGCGAGGGAGGUAGAGCACUGAAUGCAUGAUGGCCCCAUCCCGGGGUACUGAAUGCAAUCAAACUGCGAAUGCCCUCGAAAGAAGAGGCCGGCAGUCAGACUGUGGGUGAUAAGGUCCAUGGUCGAGAGGGAAACAGCCCAGACCGCCAGCAAAGGUCCCGAAAUACAGGCUAAGUGGAAAAGGAUGUGGGGACGCACGGACAGCUAGGAGGUUGGCUCAGAAGCAGCCAUCCUUUGAAGAGUGCGUAACAGCUCACUAGUCGAGUGGCCCUGCGCCGAAAAUGUACCGGGGCUAAGCCUGAUACCGAAGCUGCGGAUGUACCUGCAAGGGUAUAUGGUAGGGGAGCGUUGCAUGCAGGAAGAAGUAUGAUCGCGAGAGGAUAUGGACAGCAUGGAAGCGAGAAUGCCGGUGUGAGUAGCGAGAUGUAGGUGAGAAUCCUACACACCGAAAGCCCAAGGAUUCCAGGGGAAGGUUCGUCCGCCCUGGGUAAGUCGGGACCUAACGCGAGGCCGAGAGGCGUAGCGGAUGGAAAGCAGGCGGAGAAUCCUGCACCCGCGCGAUACGAGGCGAAGGAGUGACGGAGACGGAGUAGGCAGCCCUCUGAAUGGAUUGAGGGCCAAGCGCAGCAGUCGGAUACCAGGGAAAUCCGGUAUCGGAAGACAGGGCGUGAAGGGGAAGCGAAAGCAGAAAUGCAAGUAGCGAAGUGCCGAGGACGGCUUCCAAGAAAAGCUUCUAGCAAAGUGGUAUCGAGCGGCCCGUACCAAAACCGACACAGGUGGGCAGGCAGAGGAUGCCGAGGUGAGCGAGAGAACUGUUGCCAAGGAACUCGGCAAAAUGGCCCCGUAACUUCGGGAGAAGGGGCGCUCAUGGAAGUGAGCCGCAGUGAAAAGGCCCAAGCGACUGUUUAACUAAAACACAGCUCUCUGCGAAGCCGCAAGGCGAAGUAUAGGGGGUGACACCUGCCCGGUGCUGGAAGGUUAAGGGGACGAGUGAAUCGAAAGAUGAAGCUCGGAACCGAAGCCCCAGUGAACGGCGGCCGUAACUAUAACGGUCCUAAGGUAGCGAAAUUCCUUGUCAGGUAAGUUCUGACCCGCACGAAAGGUGUAACGAUUUGGGCGCUGUCUCGGCAGCAGGCUCGGUGAAAUCUUAGUACCUGUGAAAAUGCAGGUUACCCGCAACUAGACGGAAAGACCCCAUGGAGCUUUACUGCAGCUCGGCAUUGGAUUUUGGGCAGACAUGUACAGGAUAGGUGGGAGACGAAGAGAGAUAUACGCCAGUGUAUCAGGAGUCGAUGUUGGGAUACCACCCUUGUGUGCUUGAGGUCCUAACCCAGGUCCGUGACCCGGAUCGGGGAGAGUGCCAGGCGGGCAGUUUGACUGGGGCGGUCGCCUCCCAAAGAGUAACGGAGGCGCCCAAAGGUACGCUCAGUCUGGAUGGAAACCAGAUGAAGAGUGCAAAUGCAGAAGCGUGCUUGACUGUGAGAGCAACAACUCGAACAGGGACGAAAGUCGGGAUUAGUGAUCCGGCGGUGCCGAAUGGAAGGGCCGUCGCUCAACGGAUAAAAGCUACCCUGGGGAUAACAGGCUGAUCUCGCCCAAGAGUUCACAUCGACGGCGAGGUUUGGCACCUCGAUGUCGGCUCAUCGCAUCCUGGAGCUGGAUUCGGUUCCAAGGGUUGGGCUGUCCGCCCAUUAAAGCGGUACGCGAGCUGGGUUCAGAACGUCGUGAGACAGUUCGGUCCCUAUCUGUUGUGGGCGAAGGAGAUCUGAGGGGAGCUGUCCUCAGUACGAGAGGACCGGGAUGGACCUGCCUCUGGUGCAUCGGUUAUCACGCCAGUGGUACAGCCGGGUAGCCAAGCAGGGAAGGGAUAAGCGCUGAAAGCAUCUAAGCACGAAGCCCACCCCGAGAUGAGAUCUCCCAUUCUGAAAAGAAGUAAGGCCCCUCAAAGACGAUGAGGUAGAUAGGCCGGAGAUGGAAGCAUAGCGAUAUGCGGAGUUGACCGGUACUAAUCGGCCGAGGACUUGAUCAG
Firmicutes bacterium M10-2 is the source of this 2920-nucleotide ribosomal RNA. It matches the Rfam family "Bacterial large subunit ribosomal RNA". The record is from Rfam. Lineage: Bacteria; Bacillati; Bacillota.